CAGUAGCCGCGGGAAUACGUAGGGUGCGAGCGUUAAUCGGAAUUACUGGGCGUAAAGCGUGCGCAGGCGGUUCGUUAAGACAGAUGUGAAAUCCCCGGGCUUAACCUGGGAACUGCAUUUGUGACUGGCGAGCUAGAGUAUGGCAGAGGGGGGUAGAAUUCCACGUGUAGCAGUGAAAUGCGUAGAGAUGUGGAGGAAUACCGGUGGCGAAGGCGGCCCCCUGGACAAAGACUGACGCUCAGGUGCGAAAGCGUGGGGAGCAAACAGGAUUAGAUACCCCUGUAGUCCCUGUCUCUUAUAC
Molecule: ribosomal RNA, 301 nt
Filed under: uncultured bacterium
Lineage: Bacteria
Description: partial 16S ribosomal RNA
Rfam family: Bacterial small subunit ribosomal RNA
Source: RNAcentral